Molecule: ribosomal RNA, 301 nt
Filed under: uncultured bacterium
Lineage: Bacteria
Description: partial 16S ribosomal RNA
Rfam family: Bacterial small subunit ribosomal RNA
Source: RNAcentral
CAGCAGCCGCGGUAAUACGAGGGGGGCAAGCGUUGUUCGGAAUUAUUGGGCGUAAAGGGUGCGUAGGCGGUUUGGCAAGUCUUGUGUGAAAUCUUCGGGCUCAACCCGAAGCCUGCACGAGAAACUGCCGGGCUUGAGUAUUGGAGAGGUGAGUGGAAUUUCCGGUGUAGCGGUGAAAUGCGUAGAUAUCGGAAGGAACACCUGUGGCGAAAGCGGCUCACUGGACAAUAACUGACGCUGAUGCACGAAAGCUAGGGGAGCAAACAGGAUUAGAUACCCGCGUAGUCCCUGUCUCUUAUAC